UACGUAGGGGGCAAGCGUUGUUCGGAAUUACUGGGCGUAAAGGGCGCGUAGGCGGCACGGCAAGUCAGGAGUGAAAGGCCUGGGCUCAACCUGGGAAUUGCUUUUGAAACUGCCGAGCUAGAGUGCGGAAGGGGCAACUGGAAUUCCCAGUGUAGCGGUGAAAUGCGUAGAUAUUGGGAAGAACACCUGAGGCGAAGGCGGGUUGCUGGGCCGACACUGACGCUGAUGCGCGAAAGCCAGGGGAGCGAAUGGG
This 253-nucleotide ribosomal RNA is filed under the name uncultured bacterium. RNAcentral describes it as "partial 16S ribosomal RNA". It matches the Rfam family "Bacterial small subunit ribosomal RNA", at positions 524 to 776 of the family's 1533-position model. The record is from RNAcentral.